Molecule: long non-coding RNA, 1135 nt
Organism: Homo sapiens (human)
Lineage: Eukaryota; Metazoa; Chordata; Mammalia; Primates; Hominidae
Product: long intergenic non-protein coding RNA 2379
Source: Ensembl
AGAGGCAAAGGCAGAGGAGAAAAAAGGAAGGAGGAAGUAACUUGUGGAAUGCUGAGAAAGCUACCACAUGUGAUGGAAAGAAUCCAAGUUAAACACUCUCACCAGAGCAUGCUCCAAGACAGAUGACUGAGCCCCAGGCUUGGCCAAUACAAUGCACUUCUAUUCUCUAUUUAUUUUUGUAGUUCAAAGACCUGGCAGUAACCCACUUGAUGCCUGCCAUAAGGACCAGUACACUCCUGAUUACUGCCCAGCGAUUUUAUAUCUGUAUGCCAGCUACUCAGACCACGUAUAAAGACUAGGGGGAUUUUUUGAAAGGAAAAGAAACCCCGGCUUCCACUUAUACUUUGAAAUUUCAGAUGAUGUACUGCCAACUUACAGACCUUGCUUUAAUCAGCAGCCACAUGAAAAGGCUGUUUCUAUUUACUCUAGGUCAUUUAGGAAACAAGCAAUAAGUAGGCCUUGCAAAAUUUCAGCUUCUCUUAAAGUUGGCAUGUUUUCCUCAAAUAGAGAGUUGAAUCUUGAUUUCAUUUUCUGAGUAGAAAUAUUUACAAUCCUGUCAUACAUGAAUUUUAGCCUUCCUUCUGUCUAACAACAAAUAGGCUUUUUAAAGAAUGCUUAGCGUUAAACUGGAGGCUGUUUUGUAAAGGUGGGUCUGUAUAGAUUUGAAUAAUGACUACGCUGCUUUACUGCUCUAGUUAAAAUUUCAUCAAAUACUGACUUUAGCUGGAAAAAGAUAAUUUAAGCCCAUCCUAUUUUAGUUUUAAAUUGUGUAUAUAUAAAAAGGUAAUCUUGCAGAACAUAAAGUAACAACUACAAUAUUCAGAAAUUCAUUAAUAUUAGAAAGAUAAAAAAUGAUUAGGGUACCAAUAUGUUCUUUGGUCCAUAAUGAAUUUCUUUUCUCUUGGUUGUUCAUACUAUUUUGAUUAUCAGUGUAAUGAAGAGAUUUUGUGUAGUCCUUAAUAUUGUGACAAAGUAUCAUAUUUGUAUUAUCAAUUUUUAAAAAAUAUUUUCUUCCUUUAUUAUGUAGAGUCAAUAUUACACCAUUUUCUGCUGUAAACUUGCAACUUGGUAUCUGACACUUCACACUUCACAAUUGUAAAAGCCUUACAACAAUACAAUUUCACUGAUACCCUCA